GAUGAACGCUGGCGGCGUGCCUAAUACAUGCAAGUCGAGCGAACAGACGAGGCUCUUUCUCCUCUGACUUUAGCGGCGGACGGGUUAGUCACACGUGGAUAACCUACCUAUUAGACUUGGAUACCUUCGGGAAACCGUAGCUAAUACCGGAUAAUAUAUUGCACCGCAUUGUUCAAUAGUGAAAUACGGUUUUUCUGUCACUUAUAGAUUGCUCCGCCCCGAAUUAGCUAGUUGUUUAGGUGACGGCUUACCCAGGCUACGAUGCCUACCCGACCUGAGAGGGUGAACGGCCACACUGGAACUGAGGAAGGGUAGAGACUCCUACGGGAGGCAGCAGUAGGGAAUCUUACGCAAUGGGCGAGAGCCUGACGGAGCAAAGCCGCGUAAGUGAUGAAGGUGUUAGGAUCGUAGAACUAUGUUAUUAGGAAAGAACAAAUGUGUAAGUAACUAUGCACGUAUUGACGGUACCGAGUCAGAAAGCCACGGCUAACUACGUG
Molecule: ribosomal RNA, 497 nt
Filed under: uncultured bacterium
Lineage: Bacteria
Description: partial 16S ribosomal RNA
Rfam family: Bacterial small subunit ribosomal RNA
Source: RNAcentral